UACGAAGGGUGCAAGCGUUACUCGGAAUUACUGGGCGUAAAGCGUGCGUAGGUGGUUCGUUAAGUCUGAUGUGAAAGCCCUGGGCUCAACCUGGGAAUGGCAUUGGAAACUGGCGAUCUAGAGUGCGGUAGAGGGUAGUGGAAUUCCCGGUGUAGCAGUGAAAUGCGUAGAGAUCGGGAGGAACACCAGUGGCGAAGGCGGCUAGCUGGCCUGUAACUGACGCUGAGGCGCGAAGGCUAGGGGAGCGAACAGG
Molecule: ribosomal RNA, 253 nt
Filed under: uncultured bacterium
Lineage: Bacteria
Description: partial 16S ribosomal RNA
Rfam family: Bacterial small subunit ribosomal RNA
Source: RNAcentral